RNAcentral lists this ribosomal RNA (486 nucleotides) under uncultured bacterium. RNAcentral describes it as "partial 16S ribosomal RNA". It matches the Rfam family "Bacterial small subunit ribosomal RNA", at positions 30 to 507 of the family's 1533-position model. The record is from RNAcentral.
AUUGAACGCUGGCGGCAUGUCUUACACAUGCAAGUCGAACGGCAGCACGGGUGCUUGCCCCUGGUGGCGAGUGGCGAACGGGUGAGUAAUACAUCGGAACAUGUCCUGUAGUGGGGGAUAGCCCGGCGAAAGCCGGAUUAAUACCGCAUACGAUCUACGGAUGAAAGCGGGGGACCUUCGGGCCUCGCGCUAUAGGGUUGGCCGAUGGCUGAUUAGCUAGUUGGUGGGGUAAAGGCCUACCAAGGCGACGAUCAGUAGCUGGUCUGAGAGGACGACCAGCCACACUGGGACUGAGACACGGCCCAGACUCCUACGGGAGGCAGCAGUGGGGAAUUUUGGACAAUGGGCGAAAGCCUGAUCCAGCAAUGCCGCGUGUGUGAAGAAGGCCUUCGGGUUGUAAAGCACUUUUGUCCGGAAAGAAAUCCUUGGCCCUAAUACGGUCGGGGGAUGACGGUACCGGAAGAAUAAGCACCGGCUAACUACGUG